RNAcentral lists this ribosomal RNA (1814 nucleotides) under human gut metagenome. Its description in RNAcentral is "bacterial LSU rRNA". It matches the Rfam family "Bacterial large subunit ribosomal RNA", at positions 1117 to 2925 of the family's 2925-position model. The record is from RNAcentral.
CACCCUUUAAAGAGUGCGUAAUAGCUCACUAGUCGAGUGACACUGCGCCGAAGAUGUACCGGGGCUAAACACAAUACCGAAGCUGCGGACUUGCAUGUAAGUGCAAGUGGUAGGGGAGCGUUCUAAGGGCUGUGAAGGUAGACCGUAAGGACUGCUGGAGCGCUUAGAAGUGAGAAUGCCGGUGUGAGUAACGAAAAUUGGGUGAGAAUCCCAUUCACCGUUUGACUAAGGGUUCCUGGGUAAAGUUCGUCUUCCCAGGGUAAGUCAGGACCUAAGAUGAGGCUGAAAAGCGUAGUCGAUGGACAACAGGUUGAUAUUCCUGUACCACCUAUAUGACUGAAGGAGUGACGGAGAAAGCUAGUGAGAGCCAGUUAAUGGAUUCUGGUCUAAGUGCGUAGGCUAGUAUGUUGGCAAAUCCGCAAUACUAUAACAGCUGAAACAUGAUGGGGAAGAGAGUCUUCGGACAAUCGAACUUUCAUGAUGCUAUGCUUCCAAGAAAAGCUUCUAGGGUUAAUCGUAUAGGUGCCUGUACCGACAACCGACACAGGUGGUCAAGGAGAGUAUCCUAAGGUGAGCGAGAGAACUAUGGUUAAGGAACUCGGCAAAAUGACCCCGUAACUUCGGGAGAAGGGGUGGUCUAGCGAUAGACCCGCAGUGAAUAGGCCCAGGCAACUGUUUACCAAAAACACAGGUCUCUGCUAACACGUAAGUGGAUGUAUAGGGGCUGACGCCUGCCCAGUGCUGGAAGGUUAAAGAGAUUAGUUAGUAUGACGUAAGUCGAUAAUACGAAGCUUUGAACUGAAGCCCCAGUGAACGGCGGCCGUAACUAUAACGGUCCUAAGGUAGCGAAAUUCCUUGUCAGGUAAGUUCUGACCCGCACGAAAGGCGUAAUGAUCUGGGUACUGUCUCAACCAUAGACUCGGUGAAAUCUUAAUACCUGUGAAAAUGCAGGUUACCCGCGACUGGACGGAGAGACCCCGUGGAGCUUUACUGUAGCUUGAUAUUGGAAUUCGGUAAACUAUGUAGAGCAUAGGUGGGAGACUAUGAGAUUAAGGCGCCAGCCUUAAAGGAGUCACCAUUGGAAUACCACCCUUAGUUUAUUGGAUUUCUAACCUAGGACCAUAAUCUGGUUCAGGGACAGUGUCUGGUGGGCAGUUUGACUGGGGCGGUCGCCUCCUAAAGAGUAACGGAGGCGUUCAAAGGUUCCCUCAGAAUGGUUGGAAAUCAUUCAAAGAGCAUAAAGGUAUAAAGGGAGCUUGACUGCAAGACCUACAAGUCAAGCAGGUGCGAAAGCAGGACUUAGUGAUCAGGCGAUUCAGAAUGGAAUGGUCGUCGCUUAACGGAUAAAAGUUACCCCGGGGAUAACAGGCUGAUACCACCCAAUAGUUCACAUAGACGGUGGUGUUUGGCACCUCGAUGUCGGCUCGUCAUAUCCUGGAGGUGGAGUCGCUUCCAAGGGUUGGGCUGUUCGCCCAUUAAAGUGGCACGCGAGCUGGGUUCAGAACGUCGUGAGACAGUUCGGUCCCUAUCCGUCGUGGGCGCAGGAAAAUUGAGGAGAGCUAUCCUUAGUACGAGAGGACCGGGAUGGACAUACCUCUGGUGUAUCUGUUGUAACGCCAGUUGCAGUGCAGAGUAGCUAUGUAUGGAAUCGAUAACCGCUGAAAGCAUCUAAGCGGGAAGCGAACUUCAAGAUGAAUUUUCCCAUAUUUUUAUAAUAGUAAGAUCCCUGAAAGACUAUCAGGUUGAUAGGCUGGAGAUGGAAGUGUAGUGAUACAUUGAGUUGACCAGUACUAAUAGAUCGAGGAUUUAACCAU